GAAAGUGCGAAAAUAAAAUAAAUAAUGUAAGGUUGGAAGGAGAUUUGCUUUUGUAUUAUUCUCGUUGUUUCUUUUGCUUGUUAAUUUAUGUCU
This 93-nucleotide non-coding RNA is filed under the name Extubocellulus spinifer. Lineage: Eukaryota; Bacillariophyta; Thalassiosirophyceae; Cymatosirales; Cymatosiraceae. The record is from RNAcentral.